RNAcentral lists this long non-coding RNA (5206 nucleotides) under Xyrichtys novacula (pearly razorfish). The record is from RNAcentral. Lineage: Eukaryota; Metazoa; Chordata; Actinopteri; Labriformes; Labridae.
CUGAUGACACCGACAAAGCCUGUAUUUGUAUUUACUUUGACCUAGAAAGUUUGGUAUUGCCCGAUCUCAAUCAUGAUUGUUUAAAAAGCAUCAGUUCAUUUGAUAUUUAAAACUGCAGUUUCUGUAUCAGCUCUGAUUUUCCACAUUCUUUAACAACUUCAUUCUCAACUUACCAAACUUUAUUUCAUCAUGACUUUGUCCUCCUUAUGAACGCUUUACUCUUGUAAUAUGCAGGACUUUGUCACAACUUUUUCUUUAUAAUACUAGACACAUUAUUCUUGUAAUUAUACAGCUUUGGUUUCUUAAUCCCGAGGUCUCAUUUUCUCAAGAUCUAGUUCUCAUAAUAAUUUACAACCAUGCUCUUUACACCUUUUUUUCAUCCGUAAUGUGGCCCUGAUACUCACAUGUGUGGAUAGAAAACACUUAAAAUCAGUGAAAGUCUGAACAUCAUGAACAUUACUGACAGAGUGGAGAAAUGCUGAAACAUAGAUUAUGUAGCCUACAUCGUCCAGGGUUUUUGUUUGAGUGUUUGGGGGAAAAAAGGGGAAACUUGGAGUUUAUAUUUUAAAACUAUGGUGCAAAAUGUAUUGAUUUACCGCCUUUCCACUACAUUAAAAAACAAACUUGUUUGAAACUAUUUCUUUGCCGACGUAGAGCGGGCAGUUAAAUGUUACCUGAAUGAUAAUUGGAGCACCCCUGCUCCAUGUUUCCAAAUCAAACCUGCUUCAAGGAGGCAGGGUUAAGUCUCAAAGCCAAGGUAAUGAUGUCUUCUUUACCGCUCUUCUCUCCGCCCCCCCACCCCCCUCCCCCCAUGUUGUUACCCAGAUGUGGGUUGACCCCUGCAUGCAAGACGAUGCAAACAAUCACAGAAACAUGAAUGCUCAACGCUGCACACUCAAAAAACAUGGAGCGCUCAGAGCGGAGGAUCUGCUCUCUUUCUCUCUUAGAUACAAAUCUCAAACAUGUUCAUAUAAGUGGCAGCACACACACAUCCUCUGUCUCUUCCUGUCUUUCUCUCAUGCACACACACACACACACACACACACACACACACACUCAGAGAGGAUGAAUUAAAGGCCUCCCUGAUCAGUGCUGCCUCCCCGUCUCUAAGAGCACAGAGCCAGGGUCCCUGUCAGUUUAACUACGUGAAAUUACAACCCAAACGGGAUGUCAGGGGUUAGCGGUGUCUCCGAGAGAACUAUGUGAAUAUAUUUCCUCCUAUGGACUUGCCCCCAUCAUGACCUCCCCCAGGAACAAGAAGUAACCGUGUGAUUGGCGGUUUUACGGCCAAAUUAAACCGUCCUGCAGGCUGCUGAAGGCAGGAGGAGAAAGCAGCCGUUCCAAAAUUAGUGAGCCAUCAUCAUGACAGAAAGUAGUGGGGACAUGGUGUCAUCCAGCUACUGUAUCGAUUAACCCAUAAAUAGUAUAUGGCCUCCACACUGGGGCUCACACUGUAAAUGGAAGUUAUCUCAGCUGUCUUGCUCUGCUCUGCCUUAAACCCUGAUGUCUGCAGACUGCAGCCUGCUCUCCUUUUAUUGCAUGAAGAAAAAGAAGACAUCACACUCAUAAUUAGUGAAACGCAUGCUGUUUCUAGGAUGCUUAACACUUUGCUCCCAUAACAGUGUGACUUGAGUAAGUGGAGUAAAAAAGUGUAGGUGUUCCAUACUGGAAGGUUGCAUAUUUUUAAGAAAUAUUAAGAAAAUCCAGUGUGACUCUCUUCUCUGUCAGGUAACCUGCUGCAUUAUCCCCCUCCUCUCGGUCUUGACAUCGGGAUUAACAUAAAAGAGGAACGUCUGUCGAGCCUGCAUUGAUUUGCGCACAAGUUCGCCCGAUCAAUCUCAAAGUUGUGAUUAAAAAGCUGGAGCUGCUUCUAUUUUUCUAUUGAAAUCUUUUGGCAAAAAAAAGAGAGAGAGAGGUCUUUCAAUUUCAUAGCCUCCAGAACACUCAAGUAUUCAUUGCGCUCUAUUUUUCGCUUUCAACCUCUCUGCGGGAGGCAGGACUCAUGACAUCUAUGUAUGCUGCUUUCUUUCACAAUGCUAUUCAGCCUUCAGAUGUGAGCUGCAAGCGAUCCCUCAAACCCAUCAGAUCAGUCUUAUUGGCGUGCUCCCAGUUAUGGGCCUAUGACACUUCUCACAAGGAGACCCAUUCAGAUUCACUUUGUCCAAACGGAGGAGCAAUCUGCAGAAUUUGGCCAAGUUUCUGCAGAAAAAAAGCACAUACUGGAGGAUGCAUGCAUCUCCUGCAAACAGAUAAGUGUUUGUGCGUGUGGCUUUGUUGCUCUAUCUGUGUAUUCAUGUGGGUAUGUUCAUGUGUGGGAGUGGGUGUGUAAUGCAUGGCCCUGUUGAGAAGAGUGAUUGCUUUAUUCCUGCCUUGUAGGUGCUGUGGGGGCCGGGCCGUGUCUUUGGGCAGCUGUAUGGAUGGCUUGAGGAGGUCUCCAUCAUUCAUAAAGCGCACUCCUACAUGUAGAAUUGAUCUUGCAAAGAAACAGGGUGGCAAUAGCAGUUCAUCAGUCUUCCACCACCACAAAUCACUCGGAGGUGUCCCCCCCGGGGGAGAGGUGACACCAUUGUCAGUGUGGCAGUCCCCUCGGACAACAGAAGGGGCAGGGUACAGACCCUUGCUCUAAAGGGGGGCUGCACAGUGUCAGUAGAGUGAUAAAGGCUCUAAGGAAAACCUGCAGCAAUGAUAGGGACAGUGAUCUGCUCCGAAUUCUUAACUCUAAAAAGGUAAAUACCUGGAGUCUGUUGAACAAUAGCGCCAAAUCAAGCCAUAAGCACCAAUGACUAUGUGACACUUAAACGAUUAUCUAUUUAAAUGCACAUUUUUCGACCUCUUUAUUAAAGUCUGCAGCAAAAUAUUUAAUUUAAAUAAGCACACAUACAACAUAUAAAUGUUUAAACUAAAAAUGUUAUUGUUUUUUCUUUUUUUUUUUUUUUUUAAUUUACUCAUCUAAAAUUUGUUGUUGGCAAUAUGUUUCAAAAAAUUAGCUAUACAGGAACAACCAAACAGGUAAAAAGUUGUGUAAUACUUAAAAAAUAAAAACAGCUGGAGGAAUUUCUCCAACACCUGAGGUGAAUUUCCACCAACAGGUUAGUAACAUGACUGGGUAUAAAAAUGACAUUCAGAGAGUCUGAGUCUCUUAGAGGGUAGGAUGGGAAGAGGUUCACCACUCUGUGAGAGACUGUGUGAGCUAAUAGUUCAAUAGUUUCAGAAAAAUGUUCCUGAGAGUCAAAUGUGAAAGAGUGAGUGGACUUCAUCACCUGAAGUACAUAUUAUCAUUAAAAGAUCCAGAGAAUCUGAAGAAAUCUCUGGACUAAGGGGACAAGAACCAAAACCAAGACUUGAUGGUCCUGAUCUUUAGGCCCUCAGGCAGCACUGCAUUAAAGACAGACGGGACUCUGGAGUGGAAAUCACUGCAAGGACCCAAAAUCACCUCCAAAAAACAACACAAUUCAUCUCAGUAUCCACAAAUGAGGUUCAAACUGAACCAUGUAAAGAGGAAACCAAACAGAAACAGGAUCUAGAAACAAACAUUGUCAUUCAUUUUGGGAAAAGUAGACCCUUCAUCCUCCUCUCGAAGAGUAGAGGGUUCUUCAGGCUUGUUCUCAGCUCCCAGUCCAAGUCCAAGUCAAGCCUCCCUGAUGGUAUUCCAGCAAGACAAUGACAAACCACAUUCUGACAACAGGGAUUACAACAGCAUGGCUCUGUAGUAGAAGAGUCCUGCUGAUGAACUGGUCCGCCUGUAGUCCUGACUUGUCCCUCAUUGAAAACAUUUGGAUCAUCAUGACACCAAAAAACAGGACAAAGGAGACCCUAAACUACUUUUAAUCAAAUGAGCUGAUUUUUUAAAUCUUUUUGCCUGUGGUCAUCAAAUGCCGUUUUAUGUAAUCACGUCACACAGUGACCCAGCACUUGCAAAAACAGGUUUUUACAGCAGAAUGAUCAAACUCUUGUUGCUCGAACAUGUCCUUCGCCUCUCCAGUCUGGACAGUGAUUGAGAAAGAGCUGCUUGUUGGCUGUCUGCAGAGAAGCAGAGGGAAAUGUUAAGGAGACCUUUUCACGGCUGAGCCGCUCAGUUUGUGAAUGUUAAUGUUUUUUAAUGGAGACAUGCACUGAAAACUCAACGGAACAGCUUGAUAGGAUGUGCGCAGCUUGAAAACUGAGAGAGAUGUGACUGAAAAGAGAUUUUUUUUGGAGCAAGCGAUUUUUGCUCAAGGGCACAAACUGCCCCAAAGAGCAAUAACCAACAUGUCAGAGGCUUAGAGAAAGAUCCGGAGUGUUUAAGGUGGAUUGGUGGAAGUUUUUUAAAGGUGAGCUUUCAUCACAUGUCCACCUUUCAUGAGCUUUUCUAUUUUCAGUGUGAAGUUAAUGAAUUAGGAUCUGGAAAAGGUUUUUCUGCAGGCUUACACUGAGGAAUGAUAAGAGAUUAUUUUAGAAUGAAGAUCAAUGGCAAAGUCCAAACGGUGUGAGGAGGAGGAUGAGGAGGAGGAGGAGGAGCAUGAACACUAAUGUAAGAUGAGUGUAAUGUGCAACCCAAGGCCAAAGGCAAGAGCUUCAUCUCACCAAUUCUCUUUACAGGAGUGGAAAUUACUUGGUGUCGUACAUAACAGAUUUAUACAAAUUAAUGACCCCAGUUAUUAAUAGGCAGAGAUGCAUAUAUUAAACACAAUGAGUAAAGGUAGCUUUAAUUAUGCAUCCUUUAUAAAACCUGUUUGACUUCAGCGGCUGGCGUGCAGGUGCUUUUCAAAAUUAAUCAGACUCCUGAAAUAUGGGAGUUGAUAUCAUGCAUCCGUCUCCUUUUGAAUUAUUUCCCCGCUCAUAUUUCAACAGGCUCAAUUCAACAAAAAAGUUUGAAGACUGUAAAAUGUAAAUAAAAAACAAUCUUGAUCAUUUCCAAAUAGUUUGAGGACAAAGCAAAGAUGACAUAUCAAAUGUUAAAUCUGAAAAAUAUAAAUCUUUCAUAAAAAUAUGUCUUCUCAUUGUGAUUUUGACUUCAGUUACACAUUUCUGAAAAGUAGUUCCAGGAUCUUCUUUCUCAUCCUGCAUCCUCAACUCUCUGUAAACAUCAGUGAACCCAGCAGACCAAGUUCUGGAGUCUGAAAGUCAAUUGUUUUAGCUGCUCAAGAGUUCAGGGUCUCCUCAGUCCUGUUUUUUGGUGUCAUGAUGCUCUAAAUGUUUUCAACGGGGGACAAGUCAGGAUUGCAGG